AACGAACGCUGGCGGCAGGCCUAACACAUGCAAGUCGAACGCCGUAGCAAUACGGAGUGGCAGACGGGUGAGUAACACGUGGGAACAUACCCUUCGGUUCGGAAUAACUCAGGGAAACUUGAGCUAAUACCGGAUACGUCCGCGAGGAGAAAGAUUCAUCGCCGGAGGAUUGGCCCGCGUCUGAUUAGCUUGUUGGUGAGGUAACGGCUCACCAAGGCGACGAUCAGUAGCGGUCUGAGAGGAUGAUCAGCCACAUUGGGACUGAGACACGGCCCAAACUCCUACGGGAGGCAGCAGUGGGGAAUAUUGGACAAUGGCGCAAGCCUGAUCCAGCCAUGCCGCGUGAGUGAUGAAGGCCCUAGGGUU
RNAcentral lists this ribosomal RNA (366 nucleotides) under uncultured bacterium. RNAcentral describes it as "bacterial SSU rRNA". It matches the Rfam family "Bacterial small subunit ribosomal RNA", at positions 29 to 424 of the family's 1533-position model. The record is from RNAcentral.